GGCAAGAUGGCCGAGCGGUCCAAGGCGUGUGACUCAAGCGAAAGCUUGCCCUUAACAGGGUCUUCUCAUCUGUGUAUGCAGGCGGGGGUUCGAAUCCCCCUCUUGUCA
This is a non-coding RNA of Heliocybe sulcata, 108 nucleotides long. The record is from the annotation of a GenBank genome assembly. Lineage: Eukaryota; Fungi; Basidiomycota; Agaricomycetes; Gloeophyllales; Gloeophyllaceae.